UUAUAACUUCCUACCAAAGAGCAUUUAUAGUAUUUAUUUUAUCCAUAGGAUUCUCCCUGGUGGCUGCAGCCUGCAGGCAUCUACCGAUAACCACUGAUGUCUGAUUGUAAGUUGUAACGUAAAAAAUGAAUGCACAUUCCAUGCAAACAAAUAUUUUAUAACUAUAAGAGCACGAAAUUGUAAUCAUAUAAAUAUAUAUAAUUAAUAAUAACUAGGUAUCAUUGUCACUGGCUCUGGAGGCGCUGAUAAAAUAUUUCAUACUCAUUUAAUUUCAAACACGAGUUUAACGCAGCGUUUGAUUUGUCACCGAUUCUAUAAUAUUCUAUCAAAUAUAAUAUCUUAUAUAUUAAUUAUAUAAUAAUAUAAAAAUGUAUUUAUAAAAAGUUCACCUCAAUCUUCAUCGUUCAUUAAUACACAAAUUCACUGUGAACAAUAACCUCAUAGAAUGCCAAGUGCUGAAGUGCACGGAAAGAAAAUUAGAGAAUCGAGUAGGCAUGCAUUCUAUCGUUUUUUCAAAUAUUAUUUUAUACCUGUAUCCAUACACAAUUAAUUUUUUUAAUAAUAUAAUGAUAGAAUUUUUGUUUCUGAAAUUUGUAUUUUGCGGAUUAUCCGCGGAAUUUACUUAUCCACGCGGUUGCCAUGCCACUCUAUUCCGAGGACAAUUGAAAGUUCACUGUAUAAUCCCGGAUCGACACAUAUCACAGUAAAUUAUUUUUUUUUUCAAAUCGUUGCCACGAUAACAAACAAAUCGUGUAUUUUAAUACUCGAUAAAAUAGCUAAAACACCUGUAUGUCGAAAGGCGUCGUCGAUUGAAAGAUGUGUUGAAACUAAAUAAGCUCUCCGAAAGCUAAACCCUCUGAAGCCAACUGCAGUAGGAGGUGUAAGUGCCGCCGGAGAGUUAGAUCAAGGGCUCACGUCUCUUUUUCACAUUUUUUGUAAAGAAAAUUUUCGAAAAAAAUUGUUAUUUAAUCCGUUAUACGUGAAACUAGUAGAAUUUACUCAACAGGUAAUAAACGUACGUGGUUCGAUCCCCGGUCGAUGACAACAUUUUUGCACUAUUUUUUAAAUAUCUGAUGUCAAUAAUAUCGGACUUGACACUUAAAGUAGCUAUACCGAAUACGUUUAACGUAAAUUGAAAUGAAAUGAUAAUAUCAUAAUAUAUAUUUUGCUUUACCGAUGACCUUGCAGACGUAUAGAAACUAUAGCAAUACGUGGAACAAGCGAUGGAACGUGACUAGUUCGGCACAAGUGCUGAAUAGGAUAAGUUCACCGGCCGCCGAGUUUUAGAAGUUUUACUAGCCCAAAAAUUCGUUGAAUUGGAUUAGAACAAAUGGAUAAUGCUCUGAUGUUCCUAUACUGUAACAUACAUGUACACCGGAUGUUAAUGAACAUAUUUGUAUAAAUAUUUACAACAUCAAUUGUGCCGCCCAUUGCUUUUGACAUUGCUGUAAUAAAAAAAAUCUAAUACAAUAAAUCUAAUUGUAUAAAAUACAAUUUUAUGAUAAAUAAUGCGCGGUGUCUGCGGUGAUACAGGUACUAGAUGAGAAAUGACGAUGAAAGGUUCGAAAACUAUUAGCCCGAAUUCGCAGGAAGUACGCUAAAGGUUAAUUAUUUUUCAGAUAAAAAAGUGAGUUUAGUAAAAUAAUAUGAGGUACACGAAACCACGCCAAGUAUGUGUACUAACAUGUUUAUAUAUUAUAUUAUACAUAUAAACGGCCUUAAUGUUUUAUUUAGUUGAAUAUUGUAC
This is a long non-coding RNA of Myzus persicae (green peach aphid), 1747 nucleotides long. RefSeq lists it as uncharacterized. The record is from RefSeq and is a predicted model, not a curated record. NCBI's taxonomy places the organism in Eukaryota, Metazoa, Arthropoda, Insecta, Hemiptera, Aphididae. The transcript has 3 exons.